This 481-nucleotide ribosomal RNA is filed under the name uncultured bacterium. Its description in RNAcentral is "SSU rRNA". It matches the Rfam family "Bacterial small subunit ribosomal RNA", at positions 26 to 518 of the family's 1533-position model. The record is from RNAcentral.
AGGACGAACGCUGGCGGCGCGCUUAACACAUGCAAGUCGAGCGAGAACCGGUCCUUCGGGACUGGGAAAGCGGCGAACGGGUGAGUAACACGUGGGUAAUCAACCCUUGGUACCGGGAUAGCCCGAGGAAACUCGGAUUAAUACCGGAUGGCCCAACAGCUCUUCGGGGCGGUUGGAAAAGGUAGCUUCGGCCUCCGACCAAGGACGAGCCCGCGGCGGAUUAGCUUGUUGGUGAGGUAACGGCUCACCAAGGCGACGACGGGUAGCCGGCCUGAGAGGGUGACCGGCCACACUGGGACUGAGACACGGCCCAGACUCCUACGGGAGGCAGCAGUGGGGAAUAUUGCACAAUGGGCGAAAGCCUGAUGCAGCAACGCCGCGUGAGGGACGACGGCCUUCGGGUUGUAAACCUCUUUAGUAGGGAAGAAGCGAAGUGACGUACCUGCAGAAAAGCACCGGCUAACUACGUGCCAGCAGCCGC